AAAUUGAAGAGUUUGAUCAUGGCUCAGAUUGAACGCUGGCGGCAGGCCUAACACAUGCAAGUCGAACGGUAACAGGAAGCAGCUUGCUGCUUUGCUGACGAGUGGCGGACGGGUGAGUAAUGUCUGGGAAACUGCCUGAUGGAGGGGGAUAACUACUGGAAACGGUGGCUAAUACCGCAUAACGUCGCAAGACCAAAGAGGGGGACCUUCGGGCCUCUUGCCAUCAGAUGUGCCCAGAUGGGAUUAGCUUGUUGGUGAGGUAACGGCUCACCAAGGCGACGAUCCCUAGCUGGUCUGAGAGGAUGACCAGCCACACUGGAACUGAGACACGGUCCAGACUCCUACGGGAGGCAGCAGUGGGGAAUAUUGCACAAUGGGCGCAAGCCUGAUGCAGCCAUGCCGCGUGUAUGAAGAAGGCCUUCGGGUUGUAAAGUACUUUCAGCGGGGAGGAAGGUGUUGCGGUUAAUAACCGCAGCAAUUGACGUUACCCGCAGAAGAAGCACCGGCUAACUCCGUGCCAGCAGCCGCGGUAAUACGGAGGGUGCAAGCGUUAAUCGGAAUUACUGGGCGUAAAGCGCACGCAGGCGGUCUGUCAAGUCGGAUGUGAAAUCCCCGGGCUCAACCUGGGAACUGCAUUCGAAACUGGCAGGCUUGAGUCUUGUAGAGGGGGGUAGAAUUCCAGGUGUAGCGGUGAAAUGCGUAGAGAUCUGGAGGAAUACCGGUGGCGAAGGCGGCCCCCUGGACAAAGACUGACGCUCAGGUGCGAAAGCGUGGGGAGCAAACAGGAUUAGAUACCCUGGUAGUCCACGCCGUAAACGAUGUCUACUUGGAGGUUGUGCCCUUGAGGCGUGGCUUCCGGAGCUAACGCGUUAAGUAGACCGCCUGGGGAGUACGGCCGCAAGGUUAAAACUCAAAUGAAUUGACGGGGGCCCGCACAAGCGGUGGAGCAUGUGGUUUAAUUCGAUGCAACGCGAAGAACCUUACCUGGUCUUGACAUCCACAGAACUUUCCAGAGAUGGAUUGGUGCCUUCGGGAACUGUGAGACAGGUGCUGCAUGGCUGUCGUCAGCUCGUGUUGUGAAAUGUUGGGUUAAGUCCCGCAACGAGCGCAACCCUUAUCCUUUGUUGCCAGCGGUUAGGCCGGGAACUCAAAGGAGACUGCCAGUGAUAAACUGGAGGAAGGUGGGGAUGACGUCAAGUCAUCAUGGCCCUUACGACCAGGGCUACACACGUGCUACAAUGGCGCAUACAAAGAGAAGCGACCUCGCGAGAGCAAGCGGACCUCAUAAAGUGCGUCGUAGUCCGGAUUGGAGUCUGCAACUCGACUCCAUGAAGUCGGAAUCGCUAGUAAUCGUGGAUCAGAAUGCCACGGUGAAUACGUUCCCGGGCCUUGUACACACCGCCCGUCACACCAUGGGAGUGGGUUGCAAAAGAAGUAGGUAGCUUAACCUUCGGGAGGGCGCUUACCACUUUGUGAUUCAUGACUGGGGUGAAGUCGUAACAAGGUAACCGUAGGGGAACCUGCGGUUGGAUCACCUCCUUA
Molecule: ribosomal RNA, 1542 nt
Filed under: Salmonella enterica subsp. enterica serovar Typhimurium
Lineage: Bacteria; Pseudomonadati; Pseudomonadota; Gammaproteobacteria; Enterobacterales; Enterobacteriaceae
Also listed under: 4 other names
Description: bacterial SSU rRNA
Rfam family: Bacterial small subunit ribosomal RNA
Source: RNAcentral